This is a long non-coding RNA of Vombatus ursinus (common wombat), 1180 nucleotides long. RefSeq lists it as uncharacterized. The record is from RefSeq and is a predicted model, not a curated record. NCBI's taxonomy places the organism in Eukaryota, Metazoa, Chordata, Mammalia, Diprotodontia, Vombatidae. The transcript has 6 exons.
UUUUCUAGCUGGGGAGACAGCAAGAAGUUUGGGGGAAGGGGGCUCAGGUUAGCAGCUGUUUAAAAAUGCGCUGGUGGCAGCUUUGGGGUCCCAGUGGCAGUUUAUAGUUUGAAGGGAAGGGAUGGCCUCCUUUCCCAUCCCACUCCAAGUCCCCCCUCCCCCCACCCUCCUGCUGAAUGCCAGAUGCAGCCCAUCCCGCCUGGGUGGGACCAGGAUGGAGCUAAGGCCAUGACCUUGACCUAAGAGCUCUACCAUUCCAUGUCCACUGCCAGUUACUUGGGAUGAAAGUGAAGAAAUACUUUCAGCUUUGGCAUUGCUGUGUGGCAUCUUCAGGAGGAAUCACUGGAAACAAGAGAAACUGUCACCUGUUGGGGGCACAUUGGGAAGACCUAGACCUUCCACAGAGAACCCACUUGUCUGAUGAUCCUUAAGAAGAGAGAAACAUCGGUCAGAGAAGCUGUCUGGCCUCGUCUGGAGUCUUUGUCCCAGGUCACGAGGUACUUCCAUUGGAUUCUGACUCCGUCACCCUUCAUUUUCAAAGAGGACCAAUGACAUCCCUGAUGAUUUCUUGAAUCGCGCAUGAACUGGAUUAAAAUGAGGCAGAGCUGCACAAAGUCAUCAGCCUCACUCUUUCAUCUGGAGUCAUUGAAGUCCAAUGGCAGGACAAAAAGGGGAAUGAGAAGAAGUGGAUGACCAGGACCAUGGGACUCAGAACUUGAACAGGAUGGAAACGACCACUUAAAGGUCCCAUCAAGUAAGGGGAAAGUGAAGACUCAAAGCUUAGACCCCAGAGUCUGUGAAGAUCUAAAAAGUAGACCUGGUCUCUCCUCAGUUGAUCCCCCUGACUCCCCAAGACCAGGUGCCAUAUGUGUUCCCUGUCACUUGACAAGGAAAAACUUUCUUACAGUGAUAACUCCUGACUCCCUGGAACCUUGGAAGAGUCCUCUCUGGCCUUCAGUCUCUUCUUCUAUCGAAAGAGAAGAUUGGACUAGUUGAUCUACUACUUAUUCUAGUGUUCUAUUUUUAUGAGGUUAUAAUCUAAGAAUUGCACCAUGUACAAAUGGCACAAAAUUGUACUAUUGUCAACUGUUGCAUGGCUCUUAAUGGUGUAGACAAAAAGUAUAGUGGGGUCAGAGAAGGUUCUCAUGAGCCCUGCCUAAUAAAAGUUUUUCCCAUGUCA